Lynx canadensis (Canada lynx) is the source of this 420-nucleotide long non-coding RNA. RefSeq lists it as uncharacterized. NCBI's taxonomy places the organism in Eukaryota, Metazoa, Chordata, Mammalia, Carnivora, Felidae. The transcript is spliced from 2 exons. The record is from RefSeq and is a predicted model, not a curated record.
GGAGCGUGAGACUGUUGGCGCUACACCAGGCUUCGCGCCGCUAGGAGGACCUGAGGGCGUGGCCAAGGGCCAGGUGCGCCAGGUGACUGGCUAACCAGCCGGCGAAAGCAGCCUGCGGAACUGGAAGAUGUGAAAGUAAGAGGAGAAUUGAGUCAGCGCGAAUUGUUCGUGUCUACUCCAACUGGCCAGUCUGAAUGGAUUUUACCAGAUAAUCUGAAGCUUUCCUCUUGAAGCAGCAUGUCAAGAAGGAAGGAGCUUGGAUCCCUGAGUCACUGCUUGAAGGAGUAUCUCAAGGAUCCAAGGAGUACCACAUCGAGCUAUGAUAUAAACAAAACACUUUUAUUAUGUUACAGCAUUGGUAUUUAGAGGGUAUUUGUUUUAGCAUUAACUAUUCUGAUAAAAUACCAUUAUCAUUGAAAA